This 522-nucleotide ribosomal RNA is filed under the name uncultured Psychrobacter sp. Its description in RNAcentral is "bacterial SSU rRNA". It matches the Rfam family "Bacterial small subunit ribosomal RNA", at positions 70 to 589 of the family's 1533-position model. The record is from RNAcentral. Lineage: Bacteria; Pseudomonadati; Pseudomonadota; Gammaproteobacteria; Moraxellales; Moraxellaceae.
GAUACCAGCUUGCUGGUAGGCGUCGAGCGGCGGACGGGUGAGUAACACUUAGGAAUCUACCUAGUAGUGGGGGAUAGCUCGGGGAAACUCGAAUUAAUACCGCAUACGACCUACGGGAGAAAGGGGGCAACUUGUUGCUCUCGCUAUUAGAUGAGCCUAAGUCGGAUUAGCUAGUUGGUGGGGUAAAGGCCUACCAAGGCGACGAUCUGUAGCUGGUCUGAGAGGAUGAUCAGCCACACCGGGACUGAGACACGGCCCGGACUCCUACGGGAGGCAGCAGUGGGGAAUAUUGGACAAUGGGGGCAACCCUGAUCCAGCCAUGCCGCGUGUGUGAAGAAGGCCUUUUGGUUGUAAAGCACUUUAAGCAGUGAAGAAGACCUAACGGUUAAUACCCGUUAGCGAUGACAUUAGCUGCAGAAUAAGCACCGGCUAACUCUGUGCCAGCAGCCGCGGUAAUACAGAGGGUGCAAGCGUUAAUCGGAAUUACUGGGCGUAAAGCGAGCGUAGGUGGCUUGAUAAGUC